Molecule: non-coding RNA, 153 nt
Filed under: Synechococcus sp.
Lineage: Bacteria; Bacillati; Cyanobacteriota; Cyanophyceae; Synechococcales; Synechococcaceae
Also listed under: 1 other name
Source: RNAcentral
UGAUAUGGUGAUGGAAUCGGUUUUGAUGGGGAGCAGCCAUCAGACGCAAGGGGGAAAGAGUAGUGCCGAAUCUACCGCUGUCCCGCAACUGUGAUGAGAAUUUCUAACCUAGGUUCUCUCAGUCAGAAUGCCCGCCGAUGUGAUGAACUCCAA